AUGGAGAGUGCUUGAAGUCACUAGAGGGAAUCUGGGGAUUAUAGGAAAGUGUUUAGAAAAAUUGGAAAAGGUCAAAAUCUUAAGAGAAUUCUGGAAAAUCUUUAGAAACUCUUUUUGGGAUUUCGGCGGCAUCUUCAAAGCUAGAGCACGAUUGAUACAACACAGAUGUCAUAGUGAGCACCUAACAUCUCCGAAAGAGGGCCCUGGAAAGGUUUAGAAAACUCAAAAUUGCAUAGAAAAGCGACCAAAAGACCCUUCCAAGCCUUUGGGUUCUUUGAAGAGUCUCUUACGUCUUUUUCAAGGCGUUCAAGUACUUUCUGCGCGACUUUUCAAAUCGAGUUAAGCUUGGAAAUCGCUCUACAGCUCCUAGAAGGGCCUGGAACCGGGGAUCAAGAUACUCACGAAAAUUCUAAGAAAGCUCUGAAAAACUCCAAUAGUUUGGAGUUUCACUUGUAGGGUCCAAAACGCCUUUUCGCACUUUCCCGAAGUUUUAAUUUUUUUAGAGCUUUCGAAAGCGUUAUGUGCCCUUUCCAAGUUAGAUGAACCUAAAAAGCGCUUGAUAGUCCCUGGAAGGCUUUUGAAUGUGGAAGUGAAGAAGGGCUGGGAAACUUUGAGAAAGCAUAGUAUGCUUACGAAGUUUCUAUACCUAAUAACUCUGGAAAAUUCCAAUUUCCUGAAAACCCCUACAAAAUAUUCCAAAGCUUUCUAGUGCUUUUCAGGAUCUAAUAUGUUCCUUCAAAAACUUUCAACUGUACCAUUCCCAGAACUAGGAGAGUCUAGAAAGCGCUUACAACUUCCUAAUGAACCCUAGAAAGUACCCAGAGCAACUGUGGAAAAAAUCUAGGGGGCCCUGUGAAGAGUGUAGAGAGUUCAAAAGGAAAGGAAGUAAAGAAUACCUGGGCGAGGUUUAAAAUUCUCGAAAAUGCAAUGGUAUAAGCUCAAAAUGAUCACGGAAGUUCUAGAAAAGCUCUAGAAAGCUCAUCUGCUUUUAAAUUCCACCAAUAACGCCCUGGAAAGGAUUUAGAAGGAUUUCUAGUAGCUUGGUAGCGUUUUCCAAACUCUCUUAUUUUUUCGGGAACUUCCGAAGGCUUUCUUUGCCCUUUACAUAGUUACAUAAACCUAAAAAGCGCUUGAUUGUGCAUAUAGUGCAUCAAAAAUCCUGGAAAGUAGUAUAGGAGGCACUUUUUAAACGCUUUCCUAAGAUUUUUAGUGUUUUAUAGAGUCUGUUGCGUUUUUUUUGGGGUUUUAGAAAGAUUUCUGUUCCCUUUCCAAAGAUAGACAGUCCUAAAAUCUCUGAAAAAGGCUAGGGCCCGGAGAAAGGUUCCAGAAGUACAUAUAAAGCGCUGUUAUUGGCACAAAAUCCUUACGGGUGUUCUAGCGCAACUUUGGAAAACUCUACCGCUUUAAAAUGCCAUUGAUAAAGCUCUGGAGAGUACACAGACAGCACUACUCCCUGGAAGGGAUGCAGUAAAGUUCUGAAAUGAAUUUCAAAAGUUCACGACGGGAUGGAAAACCCUUCUGGCGGCUCAAAAUCCUCACGAACGUUCUAGAAAAUCCUUGAAAAACUGCACUGCAUUAGAAUAGAGGCUGUAGUAAGCACUUUCCAGCGCUUUUCAUAACCUUUUACGUCUUUCAGAGAGCGUCCGUAGCCCUUUUGUACCAUAUCCAAAACUAGGCGAACCGGGAAAGGGCUCCACAAUACCUAGAUAAUUCACCAAUGUGUUACAGGGCACCUACAAUUCCUGAAAUGAGUUUAGGAGGGGACUCGAACACUGGAAAACGCUCAGAAACGCUCUGGAUUUUCCAGAGUUUUAAAACUGCACCCUGCACAGAAUCCAGAAGGGGCCGUUUGCUUCCUUUCGAAAGCUGGAGGAAUCUAGAAACCACUAAAUAAUGCCUAGAAGGGCGUCAAAAAUGACUCUGGCAAGGGUUCAGGAAUCUCAAUUACAAAACGCUAGUAUGAGCGAAAGCUCUGAAAACAUCCUCUUUAGAAAUCAUGCGACUCGUUUGAGAGCCCUGGAAAGUGCAUAGGGAAAUGCCUACGAAAGUGAAAAGCUCUAGAUAACCCAGUUGCCUUGGAAAGCUUUCAUUCUGUCCAGAGUUUUUUUAUCGCUAGAAGCACAAGAGAAGGGUUUUACGGAUCGUGGGUCAGAAUUAAGCAAGGGUUGGAACCGGUUCCGCACUAUUUAAGUAGAAUGAUUGUUUAAGGGUUCCGGUACCGGUUUCGGUUCUGUGGCUUCAGUAAUUUUCGGUUCCAUUUUUUUACGGUUCCUACAUACAUAAAUAAAAUUAUU
Long non-coding RNA from Photinus pyralis (common eastern firefly), 2294 nucleotides. RefSeq lists it as uncharacterized. The record is from RefSeq and is a predicted model, not a curated record. The transcript is spliced from 3 exons. Lineage: Eukaryota; Metazoa; Arthropoda; Insecta; Coleoptera; Lampyridae.